Non-coding RNA from Paramuricea clavata, 1091 nucleotides. NCBI's taxonomy places the organism in Eukaryota, Metazoa, Cnidaria, Anthozoa, Malacalcyonacea, Plexauridae. The record is from the annotation of a GenBank genome assembly.
UCAUCUAGUAUAUAAACACACGAGAAAGCUUCGUUCAGGAAGAGUGCUCGAUUAACAAUUGUAAACGAAAAUGGCAGAAAGUAUUUUGAAAAUGUAUGAUUACUUGGUAAUUGGUGCAGGAUCUGGUGGUUUAGCAAGUGCAAGAAGAGCUGCAUCGUACGGUAUUAAAACUGCAAUCAUUGAACAUGGCAGACUUGGUGGUACUUGUGUAAGUUGAUCAAGGGGGUAUAUAUAUAUUAUAUUAUUAAAAAUAUCAAGCAGUCGAAAAGGGCUUAUGUAAGGAAUAGGUAUUUUGUACGAUUGUUAACGCUAGUUGUUUUGACCAAUUGUAUUGAGUAUAUUUACAAUUAUUAAUGCAAUUUGUCAGACUGUACAACUUCAUUUCCAUGUUAUGUAACUGUGAGUCACUAAGUGUCAGUGAUCAGGCUAAUUAGUUGGUCUUGCUUAUCAUAAUUGCUACCAUACCCAGCCUAUAAUUUAUAUAUUCUACUUUUUCAAAGCUUAUAGUGGGCAGUUGUUAAGCUGCAUGUGGGGGGAGGGGUGGGGGGGGAGUUGCUAAUAAGUAUAGGUUAUUUUGAGGCAACGAGGGGAUAUGUGAUUUAUUCACCGAGGCGCGCAGCGCCGAGGUGAAUAAACACAUAUCCCCGAGGUGCCUCAAAAUAACGUACUUAUUUUUCACACUUGCGAGGUCGCGUUAAUGAGUCAGAAAAGAAAUAAUUCUUAAUGCCAUAUUGCCUUCGCGAUGUUGUUUUUUCUCAUUUUUUGUGCUGCAAAGACAUUGCAGGUGAAUAUUAGAGGGGAUUAUUAAUUGCAGGUGAAUAUUAGAGGGGAUUAUUAAACGGAAAUUGAUUAGAGGGGAAUAUUGGAUAUAUUCCCCGACAAGAACAAAGGAAACCGAGCAGGGUGAAAAAUAAGCAGGUAUAGCUAUAGGGCUCUGGGCUCAGGCCAGAGUACGACAGUUUUGAAUGAGAUCUUGGGUGUACACUGUACAAAACGAAAAUGUAAGUGUGCAAACAUCUAUUGGGCCGUUCCAGAAAAGAUCAACACUCCCUCCACGGAGGAAAUUUCUGCCGUUCGGAGGGGGAGGGGAG